AACGAACGCUGGCGGCAGGCUUAACACAUGCAAGUCGAACGCCCCGCAAGGGGGGUGGCAGACGGGUGAGUAACGCGGGGGAACAGACCCUUUUCUACGGAAUAGCUCUGGGAAACUGGAAUAAAUACCGGAUACGCCCUACGGUGGAAAGAUUUAUCGGGAAAGGAUUGGCCCGCGUUGGAUUAGCUAGUUGGUGGGGUAAAGGCCUACCAAGGCGACGAUCCAUAGCUGGUCUGAGAGGAUGAUCAGCCACAUUGGGACUGAGACACGGCCCAGACUCCUACGGGAGGCAGCAGUGGGGAAUAUUGGACCAUGGGCGCAAGCCUGAUCCAGCCAUGCCGCGUGAGUGAUGAAGGCCUUAGGGUUGUAAAGCUCUUUCACCUAUGCAGAUAAUGACGGUAGUCGGAGAAGAAGCCCCGGCUAACUUCGUG
This 431-nucleotide ribosomal RNA is filed under the name uncultured bacterium. RNAcentral's name for it is "partial 16S ribosomal RNA". It matches the Rfam family "Bacterial small subunit ribosomal RNA", at positions 29 to 507 of the family's 1533-position model. The record is from RNAcentral.